RNAcentral lists this ribosomal RNA (443 nucleotides) under uncultured bacterium. Its description in RNAcentral is "partial 16S ribosomal RNA". It matches the Rfam family "Bacterial small subunit ribosomal RNA", at positions 338 to 795 of the family's 1533-position model. The record is from RNAcentral.
CCUACGGGAGGCUGCAGUGGGGAAUAUUGGACAAUGGGGGGAACCCUGAUCCAGCGACGCCGCGUGAGUGAAGAAGUAUUUCGGUAUGUAAAGCUCUAUCAGCAGGGAAGAAAGAAAUGACGGUACCUGACUAAGAAGCCCCGGCUAACUACGUGCCAGCAGCCGCGGUAAUACGUAGGGGGCAAGCGUUAUCCGGAUUUACUGGGGGUAAAGGGAGCGUAGACGGCGAUGCAAGUCUGAAGUGAAAGGCGGGGGCCCAACCUCCGGACUGCUUUGGAAACUGUAUGGCUGGAGUGCAGGGGAGGUAAGUGGAAUUCCUAGUGUAGCGGUGAAAUGCGUAGAUAUUAGGAGGAACACCAGUGGCGAAGGCGGCUUACUGGACUGUAACUGACGUUGAGGCUCGAAAGCGUGGGGAGCAAACAGGAUUAGAUACCCCGGUAGUC